Molecule: long non-coding RNA, 3727 nt
Organism: Pteropus alecto (black flying fox)
Lineage: Eukaryota; Metazoa; Chordata; Mammalia; Chiroptera; Pteropodidae
Exons: 2
Source: RefSeq, a predicted model, not a curated record
UUUGCCCUGCUGCUCCCUGCUCUGGUUUACCUGAAUGGGGGUGAGGGGGUGGGAAUGAGACAGUGAGAGCCUGGGAAAGGGGAAUCUUUUCGGGGUUCAAUUACUUAUCUAGGAUCAAGUUCUGGAUCAAAGUAAAAUUCUGACUUAUCCAGGUAGGCAGAAUUCUGACUCCUAUCUUCUCUCUGCUUCAUUAGAGUUUUCUAGACAAACCCCUUGGGUGUGUAUAUGUGAGGGAGGAACCCUAGCUACAAAGCGAGGGGCGAAUGGUCACGCCAGCACCCCGCACCGGCCUGAGCCUGACCCGACAGCAGUGGCUGCUGGCAAGGCUUUUGAUUUCUGACCCGCGGGGUCACAGGUCACUCUCCUGGGAGCAGAGCACUUCCGGGGUCACAAAGACAGUCCCUGUCUCCCACACCCAGAUCAUUUGUUCUGUCCCCACCGCAUGGCAUAUACAUCCACCAUGUGGGGGAGAUGUGACGAGCAAGAGACAAAAAGACAGACGUAUUGCCGCUCCGGAGCGCAGCAGAUGGCCAACACUGCCUUUCUCAACCAGAAUGCACAGCCAGUAUUAGACUGUAUUUACUGCAAAUAUUGUGCCGUGUUGGGUCUAAGGGAGCCAGGGUAAUAGAAAGGAAUGAAGUCAAUCCACCUGCCUCAUCUUUGACUAGAGGUUGUUUAUAGCCGAAAUUGCGUUUGUGGGACUGAGCCAGGCCUUUAUUGCUGGUUUUCUGAUGGGUAACAGUAGCAGUUCUCAAGCAGCUGUGACAUUCCGACAUCUGUGACUCAGGGCUUUGCUAUUAAUAGCCUGGGUGUCUCAGCCUGUGAGCAAGGGCUAAGUCCCCGCCAACCCCUGAGUCGUCUUUUCUAUGACACACACUUCACCCACACAACUAACUCCCUGCCUCCACUGCAGCCCGGGAGGGUGGCGUUCUUCCCAAGUCAGAGGCCAGCUGGGGGAUAAACACUGAGGAACCUUUAAGCAGCUUCUCUACCCUCCAUUCACAACUAUGAGCCAAGCACGAGAGCAACACGACCUCCAAUCCAGAGGGAUGGGCAGGGUUGACUAUGGAGAUGAGCCCUUUACGUUCCCAAAUUUCCAUGGCCUCCGAGACCUUAAGGAGAUGCUGACGAGCAGAAAUCAACCUCGGAGAGCUGGAGUUGGUUUGGUGCUGUGAGCCUAGCAGAAUGAAGCCCACAGUUGUCUGCAAGUGACCAAAGGACAGAAACCAUUUUGUUGGAGAGAAAAGCUUGGUUAGCAUACAGCCACUCUUGGCAAAACUUCAAGAGCACAUCAUUUCAAUAGAAGCCGUGCCAAUGAGGAGGGAAAUGUUACAACCUGAACACAAGCAACCUAACAGAAUCCACUUCCUCAUGGCUCUCUGUCUUCAACAGAGCCAAAAACUGCCUACUGCUUGUGCACCUGUAGGACAGGAGGUUCUGGACCCAAGGUUUACAGGUAACCCACCUCCCUCCGUGCCAUUGGCAAAAGAGCACUCCGUAUCCUUUCUAGCAGAAUUCAGCUGAAAGAAAACUCAAGAAUGAGUUCCUUAUUUGCUUUCUAUUUAAUGUUUACAUCUGUCAACCUCACUGUGACAUUUAUGGAGCAUCUACUGCAUGCCAAGUACUGGGAUGGCAGUACGAGAACAAGAGAGAAAACGCUGCUCUGGAGUUAACAUCUCGUGGAGGAGAUGCAUAUGCACGAAUAUUCUCAAGGAAAUUAGGGAGGUGCUAGGACAGAAGAAGGGUGUGCAGGGUUCAGGGCAGGGCUGAGUCCAACGGGGAGCCAGGACGGACUUCCAGGAGGAGAGAGAAGGCAGGUGAGGGCUGCCAAGUUAAGACGUGGGAAAAGAUCAUUCCACGUGGAGGUUGUGGGGUAAGAAGGUACCACGUAGUUUAUUGUUCAUGGGAUACAGGGAGAUGCUCAAGCUAAGGGCAAGAUGGUUGGUCACGGAGGGCUCUGAAGGCCAUGCUAAGGAGGGUGGACUUUAGAAGUGACGUGUUUAGAGUCUCAAACUUGAGCUACCGAUUUCAUUCCAAGUUAAGAGCAAAAGACUUUGGCUGCAUUUCCAAGUCCACCACGAUCUGUUUCCAACCAUACUGCCUCCUUCCUCCAAACCGGGUUGUGCUAUGUGUACAUGCCCAGUUUUUAGCAGACUGCUGGACACGUAAUAGAUGCCCAAGGAGUGUUUAAGCUUAUUACUUUAUCUAAAUAUUUCCCUGAUCAAUAGAAUAACAUGACAGCCAUGCACAUCUCAUACGGAGCAAUUUAGGUAGCACAGACCAAUUGAUUUAUUUUUCUGUAGCAGUGGCUUCAUGUCCACAACUAGGCUGUGAGCCCCAGGAAGCAAGGAGGGUUUCAUGCUUUUCUAGACUCCCAAGAGUAUAGUCUGCAGACUCCACGGACAGAAAUACUGAGGGUGCUUUAAAGGCAGACACCUGGUCCCCACCCAAGGUCUGAUGCCUCAGAUUCCCUGGCAAUGAAGCCUGAGCUGCAUCCAGCUCCUCACGUGACUAAGGACCACUGGCCUAGCACACUGGCCGGCAUAACAGGAGAUGGAUGAACAUGAGAUUUACAAACAGAGCUAUACACCAUUCUACCACUUCUAAAAAAUACAACACCCAUUCUUUCAGCUGGCCAAAAUAACAAUCAUCCUGACAUUCACUGCAAUCUUAAUGAAAAUUUAUUGGAAGUGAUGGUUUUAAAGUUUUCUACAGUUGGAGACGAAUUCCUAAAUGUCUGAGCCCUCUUGAUCCUACUAAGUCUCUUGUCUUCAACUGAGAAUUCUUAGGAUUUUUUCCAUAUGAAUCUCAAAGAAUCAACAUUCAGCCAAGUUCUUUUCUAAGAGUUCUUAGAGCAGAAUUAUUUACAUUUGUAUCCAAAACUUCCCCAUGGUCCUUCUCAGAAGACACUUCUGAGUUUGGACCUAAGCAACAGAUUGCAGCUUGAGAAAAUGACAAAAAUUACUAAAGUGUAUUUAACGUUCCCAAUAAAUAAUCCACUAAGGAUGAAAAUAUAGAGUGAGUAUAAAACAAGCCACUUUUCUUCAAGUGUGCUGGAAUCUAUUACCAGAUUUCAAAGGAUCUUUUGAUAGUAAAGAGAGUUUCACAGAUUUUAGCUUAAUUUCAGGUAUGUGAGAAGUUCACAAGGAAUACAGAAAUAGCUCCAAAUUAUUUGGGAAAAGGCCAUUUUUUUCUACAGUUUACUAUUAGCUUUAUCCCUUUCCUUAAUAUUGUCUAAGAAGAAACACAGCGAUUAGAAUAGAAAAUGGUCACUUUCUAUCACCUAGAACUGCAGUGCCUUCCCUAGCAACACACCCAUCUUCCUGGCACUUAAAUACCACCAGUGCUCCAAACUGUCCAGCUAAGGAUGAGCCCAAAAGGCCAAGAUUAUGAUGCUACUCACCUACCUUAAGGAGUCCAAGAACUAAUGAAGGAUAAGGUAUCGAGAAAGAAGAUACUGCAAUGAUGGAUUCGCAUGUCUAUUUUUGCAAGAGAUUGUGAACAUUUGGAGAGAAGGGACCACUUGUGAAUAUAUGCGAAUAUCUGUAUUCACAUGGUGACAGGCACAAAGUAGGAAUGCAACAGUUGAUGAGUACUAAGGAAUAAAUGUCACUAGCUGACCAUCGAGAGUCAAAACACUAGACAGGCAUUCAUUUUUGUAGUCAAAUAGACUGUUUUAAAAAUCUAACUAAAACAAAUUAAAAGUAAAUUCAGUCUCAUAUAAAAA